ACGCACGCUGGCGGCGUGCUUAACACCUGCCAGUCGAACGGAAAGGCCCCUUUGGGGGUACUCGAGUGGCGAACGGGUGAGUAACACGUGAGUAACCUGCCCUUGACUUCGGGAUAACUUCAGGAAACUGGGGCUAAUACCGGAUAGGAAUCCUUGCUGCAUGGUGGGGGUUGGAAAGCUUCGGCGGUUUUGGAUGGACUCGCGGCUUAUCAGCUUGUUGGUGGGGUAGUGGCUUACCAAGGCUUUGACGGGUAGCCGGCCUGAGAGGGCGACCGGCCACAUUGGGACUGAGAUACGGCCCAGACUCCUACGGGAGGCAGCAGUGGGGAAUAUUGCACAAUGGGCGGAAGCCUGAUGCAGCAACGCCGCGGGCGGGAUGACGGCCUUCGGGUUGGAAACCGCUUUCAGCAGGGGCGAAGCUUGUGGUGACGGUACCUGCAGAAGAAGCACCGGCUAACUACGUG
This 464-nucleotide ribosomal RNA is filed under the name uncultured bacterium. Its description in RNAcentral is "partial 16S ribosomal RNA". It matches the Rfam family "Bacterial small subunit ribosomal RNA", at positions 29 to 507 of the family's 1533-position model. The record is from RNAcentral.